GCAGCCGCGGUAAUUCCAGCUCCAAUAGCGUAUAUUAAAGUUGUUGCAGUUAAAAAGCUCGUAGUUGAAUUUCGGGGUCAGCAAGUUGGUCGUGCCACUGGUAUGCACUGGCUUUACUGAUUCCUCCUUCUUGUAGAACCGUAAUGCCAUUAAGUUGGUGUUGCGAGGAAACAGGACUGUUACUUUGAAAAAAUUAGAGUGUUUAAAGCAGGCUAACGCUUGAAUACAUUAGCAUGGAAUAAUGAAAUAGGACGACGAUCCUAUUUUGUUGGUUUCUAGGAUUGACGUAAUGAUUAAUAGGGAUAGUUGGG
Molecule: ribosomal RNA, 311 nt
Filed under: uncultured Glomus
Lineage: Eukaryota; Fungi; Glomeromycota; Glomeromycetes; Glomerales; Glomeraceae
Description: SSU rRNA
Rfam family: Eukaryotic small subunit ribosomal RNA
Source: RNAcentral